RNAcentral lists this long non-coding RNA (2437 nucleotides) under Podarcis lilfordi (Lilford's wall lizard). The record is from RNAcentral. Lineage: Eukaryota; Metazoa; Chordata; Lepidosauria; Squamata; Lacertidae.
CCAACACCCACUGCUCAGGAGUUGCGACAAGCGGCUUGGCAUGCCCUCACCCAAGAUGGCGCCACCCGUUGUUUGCCAACCCUAAACAAAUGGUGAAAAGUUAUAUAUAUUCAUCAAAACCAACUUGGAAAGAGCUGAUUCAAUUAGAUAUUCUCCUCUUGGUGAGGUACAUCCAGCUUGUCCACAGAUAUAAUCCUUACUGGCAAAAGCAGGGAAGGAACAGAAGGCGUCGCUGAAGCCUUGCAGCCUGGGCCAAGCUGUCUUUCCAUCUGGAAUGUCGGUGGUCCCAGUAAUAAUCAUAAUAUUAAACACGGAAGAGCUGUCCGGGGGGAUUGCUUGCUCCCUGCCAACCCCUUCCUCAAAUAUAAUAAGCUGACAUUUUGCCACCGGGGAGCGGUGAAAUAUGAGAGAGACGCAGAUGGAGAGAAAGGCGAAAAGAAAACUCCAGUAAACUCAACUUUGUUUGCUAAUUCCUCCCGCCUUUUGUUCUUUCUGUAGAAACAAGCCUCUUUGGCGUGGCUGGUUGUUAGACCACAUGGCUUGUUCCUGGCCGAAAGAAUGCAUGGUGUCUGUAAGCUAUGCGUUGGGAUCGAUUUCUGAAGCCUGUGGUGAAAAUUCUCCCCUGGUUUUUCCUGUUUACAUGGAAUUUUAGAGUUGGAAGGUAUCCCCCAACGGUCAUCUAGUCUCUACAAUUCUGGAAUCACGGCUAAGGAAUCCCUGACAGAUGGCCAUUCAACCUUUGCUUAAAAACCUCCAAGGAAGAAGAGCCCACCAUCUCUGGAGUCUGUUCCACUGUCGAACAGCUCUUCCUGGCAGAAGGUUUUUCUGUAUGCUUAGUCAGAAUCUCCUUUCUCGUAACUUGAAGCCAUGGGUUCGAGUCCUACCCUCCACAGCAGGAGAAAACAAGCUUGUUCCUUCUUCAAUGUGACAGCCCUUAAGAUAUUUGAAGAUGGCCACUCUAUCUCCUCUCAGUCUCCUCUUUCUCAGGCUAAACAUCCCCAGCUCCUUCAACCAUUCCUCAUCAGGCUUGGUUUCCAGACCCUUGAUCAUCUUGGUUUCCCUCCUCUGCUCAUGUUCCAGCUUGUCAAAAUCCUUCUUAAAUUGUGGUGCCCAGAACUGGACACAGUAUUCCAGGUGUGGUCUGACCAAGGCUGAAUAGGGUGGGACUAUUACUUCCCUUGAUUUGGACUCUAGAUUUCUGUUGAUGCAGCCUACAAUAGUGUUAGCUUUUUUUGGCUGCUGCAUCACACUGUGGACUCAUGUUCAACUUGUGGUCCACAAAGACCCCUAGAUCCUUUUCACAUGUGCUACUAGUAAUACUGGUGACCCCCAUCUUAUAUUUGUGCACCAGUCUAUCCCUGCAGGUAUAAACACUAUUAAAACUGGGAUCAGGUAUAGUAAAAGGUAAAGGUGAAGGACUCCUGGACAGUAAAGUCCAGUCAAAGGUGACUAUGGGGUUGUGGCACUCAUCUCACUUUCAGGGAGCUGGCAUUUGUCCACAGACAGCUUUCCAGAUCGCGUGGCCAGCAGGACUAAACCGCUUCUGGCACAAUGGGACACUGUGAUGGAAACCAGAGCGCAUGGAAACGCUGUUUACCUUCCCGCCGGAGUAGUACCUAUUUAUCUACUUGCACUGGUAUGCUUUUGAACUGCUAGGUUGGCAGGAGCUGGGACAGAGCAACAGGAGCUCACCCCGUCGUGGGGAUUCAAACCGCCAACCUUCUGAUCAGCAAGCCCAAGAGGCCCAGUGGUUUAGACCACAGCACCACCCUAGGGAUCAUGUAUAACUUCCCCCAUAACAGCCGGUCUGCAAAUUCCUAUCUUGAAUCCAUGAAUGCAAACCGAACUCUGCAGGCACCGCUUCCCGUUAGCUUAUUUUAUUUGCGAUGGUUGAUUUGCUGUAUUAUUAUGUCAUCCUCUUUUUAUUUCAACAGGCCCACGUUCCCGUUAGAAAGUUCUGGUGUGGAUUUAGCAUUUGAAGAGGGCGGCAUUGACUUUCUCGGCCUCUGGAGAAGAUGGCUCAGAUAAUAGAUGCCGAGGCACUUUGAGUAUCUGAAACCAGAUAUAAAAAUGUUAAGUGUUGUGAUCGCAUUAGGCUCUCUGCCUUGAGCGAGUUCUCUCGCACGCACGCCUUUUUAUUUUAUUCCUCUUCAAAUUAGCCAUGAGGUUCCUGUCUCAACUGUGGUGAAGAUUUGAGAGCGCCGACAACACAGCCUGAUCCCUGUUAUCUCGAGGCAGCAAACCUGCACCAUUUGUGCUGAAUUUUCAUGAUGCCCCGCAGACUUUGUCUACAUUACCUUUACUCCGAUUCCAGAGCGCUCCCACCGCUGGUAUUUAACACCAAGGUUACAUCCUUACAUAUCUGUAAGAAUUCGAUCUUAUAUACUUCGGAACUCCCUGCCACUUGACAUCAGACAAGUGCCUUCACUGCACCCUU